ACUGGGGGAUAACAGUUAGAAAUAGCUGCUAAUACCGCAUAGGACAUGGAAUCACAUGAUUCUGUGAGGAAAGGUGGCGCAAGCUAUCGCUAAGAGAUGGACCCGCGGUGCAUUAGCUAGUUGGUAGGGUAAAGGCCUACCAAGGCGAUGAUGCAUAGCCGACCUGAGAGGGUGAUCGGCCACACUGGAACUGAGACACGGUCCAGACUCCUACGGGAGGCAGCAUG
This 227-nucleotide ribosomal RNA is filed under the name uncultured bacterium. RNAcentral describes it as "partial 16S ribosomal RNA". It matches the Rfam family "Bacterial small subunit ribosomal RNA", at positions 135 to 353 of the family's 1533-position model. The record is from RNAcentral.